CUACGGGAGGCAGCAGUGGGGAAUCUUAGACAAUGGGGGCAACCCUGAUCUAGCCAUGCCGCGUGAGUGAUGAAGGCCUUAGGGUCGUAAAGCUCUUUCGCCUGUGAAGAUAAUGACUGUAGCAGGUAAAGAAACCCCGGCUAACUCCGUGCCAGCAGCCGCGGUAAUACGGAGGGGGUUAGCGUUGUUCGGAAUUACUGGGCGUAAAGCGCACGUAGGCGGACUGGAAAGUUGGGGGUGAAAUCCCGGGGCUCAACCUCGGAACUGCCUCCAAAACUACUAGUCUAGAGUUCGAGAGAGGUGAGUGGAAUUCCGAGUGUAGAGGUGAAAUUCGUAGAUAUUCGGAGGAACACCAGUGGCGAAGGCGGCUCACUGGCUCGAUACUGACGCUGAGGUGCGAAAGUGUGGGGAGCAAACAGGAUUAGAUACCCUGGUAGUCCACACCGUAAACGAUGAAUGCCAGUCGUCGGCAAGCAUGCUUGUCGGUGACACACCUAACGGAUUAAUCAUUCCGCCUGGGGAGUACGGUCGCAAGAUUAAUACUCAAAGGAAUUGACGG
This 559-nucleotide ribosomal RNA is filed under the name uncultured marine bacterium D004. Its description in RNAcentral is "bacterial SSU rRNA". It matches the Rfam family "Bacterial small subunit ribosomal RNA", at positions 339 to 916 of the family's 1533-position model. The record is from RNAcentral.